AACGAACGCUGGCGGCAGGCCUAACACAUGCAAGUCGAGCGCGCCCUUCGGGGUGAGCGGCGGACGGGUGAGUAACGCGUGGGAACGUGCCCCUUUCUACGGAAUAGCCUCGGGAAACUGAGAGUAAUACCGUAUACGCCCUUUGGGGGAAAGAUUUAUCGGAAAAGGAUCGGCCCGCGUUGGAUUAGGUAGUUGGUGGGGUAAUGGCCUACCAAGCCGACGAUCCAUAGCUGGUUUGAGAGGAUGAUCAGCCACACUGGGACUGAGACACGGCCCAGACUCCUACGGGAGGCAGCAGUGGGGAAUCUUAGACAAUGGGGGCAACCCUGAUCUAGCCAUGCCGCGUGAGUGAUGAAGGCCUUAGGGUUGUAAAGCUCUUUCAGCUGGGAAGAUAAUGACGGUACCAGCAGAAGAAGCCCCGGCUAACUCCGUG
RNAcentral lists this ribosomal RNA (433 nucleotides) under uncultured bacterium. RNAcentral's name for it is "partial 16S ribosomal RNA". It matches the Rfam family "Bacterial small subunit ribosomal RNA", at positions 29 to 507 of the family's 1533-position model. The record is from RNAcentral.